GCUGGGUGUGGUGACCCUUGCCUGUAAUCCCAGCUACUCAGGAGGCUGAGGCAGGAGAAUUGCUUGCACCCAGGAGGUGGAGGUUGCAGUGAGCCGAGAUCAUGCCACUGCACUCCAACCUGGGUGACAAAGUGAGACUCUGUCUCUU
Unclassified non-coding RNA from Macaca fascicularis (crab-eating macaque), 148 nucleotides. It matches the Rfam family "Metazoan signal recognition particle RNA". From Rfam's summary of the family: The signal recognition particle (SRP) is a universally conserved ribonucleoprotein. The record is from Ensembl. Lineage: Eukaryota; Metazoa; Chordata; Mammalia; Primates; Cercopithecidae.